GAAUUGGUGCCAGUUCCUGGGGUUAGGCCGAGGGUGUAGGCCUGUGAGCUGUGGUGCCAGCUCCUGGAGCAAGUGGGGGUCCUUGUGUGAUUAGCUGGGGGUGACCACAGCGCUCUGGAUCUAGGAAGGAUCCUACAGACAUUGUGCUCAGAGUGCUACUGGGGGGACUGGUAAUUUGAAUGAGACACGACCUGCCCUUUUAGCCACAUGUUCCAUCCUCACUGCUGCACAGAAUUUCAAUAGUUCUGUAUACGAUCAUGAGUGAUACUCAUGUUUGUCUUCAGCAGCCUACCAAAAAUGUGAGAGGUGGCUCACAUACAUCAAAAGCUGUGUUAUAAUAAAAGUACUUUCUAGAAUAUCUGUUGAAAGAAACAAUUCUCAGGUCACUUCAAUAACAUCAGUGAUGGGAGAAAAUGGAAUAAAACGCCCCUCUUGUCGUCCAACAGGAUGGCUGACCUCAUCAGGACGGCUUUAAACCAGGAAUGAUGAGGGAGGGAGAGGCUAUCCAGCAGCUCUGUGAGGCAGCAAUAGACAGUGUUGCUGAGCAAAAAUCAAGGGGUGGUGUGACUGAAAGAUCAAAAAAAUCAACAAAAUGGGGCUUAAGCAGAGUCACCGCCAGCACUUGAUUGUAAGCAAGGAAGUGCCUAAGAGACACCAUUGUGGAGAAAUCCCUCAAAUCCUUUCAAGGAACCCACUUUGCUGGGGUGCCUCUCUGAAGUGCCUGUACACUAACGCACAUGGUGCCUUGGCUACAGAUCUCGGUGUGUGUUCUGCUUAAGGAGCAGGAUAUCUGGCAGUACGUUCCCAGAGGAUUUAAUUGAGAAAUCACACUGUGACAUACAGUUUUUGGAAAAGCCUACAGC
Cygnus olor (mute swan) is the source of this 863-nucleotide long non-coding RNA. RefSeq lists it as uncharacterized. The record is from RefSeq and is a predicted model, not a curated record. The transcript is spliced from 3 exons. Lineage: Eukaryota; Metazoa; Chordata; Aves; Anseriformes; Anatidae.